This 256-nucleotide ribosomal RNA is filed under the name uncultured bacterium. RNAcentral's name for it is "partial 16S ribosomal RNA". It matches the Rfam family "Bacterial small subunit ribosomal RNA", at positions 99 to 353 of the family's 1533-position model. The record is from RNAcentral.
CGGACGGGUGAGUAACGCGUGGGUAACCUGCCUUAUACAGGGGGAUAACAGUUAGAAAUGACUGCUAAUACCGCAUAAGCGCACAGGAUUGCAUGAUCUGGUGUGAAAAACUCCGGUGGUAUAAGAUGGACCCGCGUCUGAUUAGCUGGUUGGUGAGGUAACGGCCCACCAAGGCGACGAUCAGUAGCCGACCUGAGAGGGUGACCGGCCACAUUGGGACUGAGACACGGCCCAAACUCCUACGGGAGGCAGCAUG